AAAAUUAGAGUGUUCAAAGCAGGCAGAUCCAAUUUUCUGCCACCGAAUACAUUAGCAUGGGAUAAUGGAAUAGGACCCUGUCCUCCUAUUUUCAGUUGGUUUUGGCAGCGCGAGGACUAGGGUAAUGAUUAAUAGGGAUAGUUGGGGGCAUUAAUAUUUAAUUGUCAGAGGUGAAAUUCUUGGAUUUAUGAAAGAUUAACUUCUGCGAAAGCAUCUGCCAAGGAUGUUUUCAUUAAUCAAGAACGAAAGUUAGGGGAUCGAAGACGAUCAGAUACCGUCGUAGUCUUAACCAUAAACGAUGCCGACCAGCGAUUAGGAGACGUUGAAUACAAAACACCACCAUCGGCGCGGUCGUCCUUGGCGUCGGUCCUUCACGGGGCCGGCGCGAGGGCGGCUAGCCCU
Molecule: ribosomal RNA, 402 nt
Filed under: Acanthamoeba sp.
Lineage: Eukaryota; Discosea; Longamoebia; Acanthamoebidae
Description: SSU rRNA
Rfam family: Eukaryotic small subunit ribosomal RNA
Source: RNAcentral